AUGCACCAUAAAUCUCCAGGAUGCAGCUGUGACUGGAUUAUUUAUAGCUCCAGUCUUACAUCUCUAACUCGAAACUGUCACACAAAGGGAAAGGUAAUGAAAUCUCACCUCCCCUGCCUGUCCCUCACUCCACACCGCAGGGCCUUCCAGAGCCUGUGGCUGAAGGAGGGAGGAAAGGCCUUCCCCUCUGCUGCCUCCCUCCCUUCCUUGCUCCCUCUGUCCCUUCCUCUGUCGUCACACACACACUUCGCAGCGCUACGUUCCCUCUCAGACACAGCCUCUCACGUUUCUCUCUCACGCAUACAUUUCCUCACAGAUGCAGACAUUUCUGUCCAACCUCUCCCUCCCGCUCAGCUCGCCCUGCCCGGGGCCCCUCCUAUCCCUGCAGGCACACUCGCACAUGCCUGCCCUUUUCCUUCCAAGCCACCGCUGUCUCCCUGCGUGGCUCACUCCCUUCCACCGUGUUUGCCUCUUUGCUUUGUCAAUGAAGACGCGGGCACAUUAACGAGGAGGCCUGUCCUCUGCGGAGGCACACCAGCUCCUUGUCGCUCACUGGCAGAAGUGUCAGCUCACAUUCAUCUUACUCUGCCUGUAAGAGUCCCAUUGGCAUUGCCUCCCCAAGUGGGACCCAUUUUGUGGCACGUGGCUGGGACCACACGUAUCCCUGGGCUUGACAUACACAGACACACAGGAAACAUCGGCCACAGAACGUGCCUCUCCCACUGCAGGGAGGAGCAUCUAAGGAUGUGCUCUGCGAGUUCCACGAAGGGCCCCGGGUGUGGUAUUUCAUGGUGCAGAGGUGAAGUUCCUCCUCCCUCCUGUUUUAUUGUCUCACAGUUUCCUAUGAGGCAGUCCCUCUGCUACCCCAUCCCACAGAUGCCAGUGGAAACUCUGAGCCCCGUGCAAGCUCCCAUGGAGACCCAAGGCCCAGCCUCUCUCCCUGCCCGGCCUUCCACCCCCAGGCCCACAAUCAUCAGAAAGCAGCACUUCCCACUGCAGCCUUGCCUUGACGUGGCCCACAGCUCACUCCAUCCAGACAGUGUGUGUGUGUGUGUGUGUGUGUGCAUGUGUGCGCGCGCUUCUUGUGCUGGAUGA
RNAcentral lists this long non-coding RNA (1095 nucleotides) under Macaca fascicularis (crab-eating macaque). RNAcentral describes it as "lncRNA (ENSMFAG00000052157.1)". The record is from RNAcentral. Lineage: Eukaryota; Metazoa; Chordata; Mammalia; Primates; Cercopithecidae.